This 660-nucleotide ribosomal RNA is filed under the name Poa subvestita. RNAcentral's name for it is "eukaryotic LSU rRNA". The stretch from base 239 to 394 matches the Rfam family "5.8S ribosomal RNA". Lineage: Eukaryota; Viridiplantae; Streptophyta; Magnoliopsida; Poales; Poaceae. The record is from RNAcentral.
UGCGGAAGGAUCAUUGUCGUGACCCUGACCAAAACAGACCGUGAACGCGUCAUCUUGCCUGCCAGCGGUGGCCCUGCCGUCGCUUGGCCAAAGUCCUCGAUAACCUCCUCUUCUCGGAGCGGGGGCUCGGGGUAAAAGAACCCACGGCGCCAAAGGCGUCAAGGAACACUGUGCCUAACCCGGGGAAGCGGCUUGCUUGCUAGCUGCCCCUCGUGUUGCAAAGCUAUUUAAUCCACACGACUCUCGGCAACGGAUAUCUCGGCUCUCGCAUCGAUGAAGAACGUAGCGAAAUGCGAUACCUGGUGUGAAUUGCAGAAUCCCGCGAACCAUCGAGUCUUUGAACGCAAGUUGCGCCCGAGGCCACUUGGCCGAGGGCACGCCUGCCUGGGCGUCACGCCAAACACGCUCCCACCUCUCAUCGGGUGGUGGGAUGCGGCAUGUGGCUCCCCGUCUCGCAAGGGGCGGUGGGCCGAAGAUGCGGCUGCCGGCGUAUCGUGCCGGACACAGCGCGUGGUGGGCGAACUCGUUUUACUUACCGCAGUGCAUCCGGCCCGUAGCCGACGUGAUGGCCUUAAGGACCCAAUGAAUGGAGCGCAUGACGCUCUGACCGCGACCCCAGGUCAGGCGGGACUACCCGCUGAAUUUAAGCAUAUAAAUAAG